GCCCUGGUAGUGUAGUGGCCUAUCAUGGGGCCCUGUCGAGGCCCCGACCCGGGUUCGACGCUUUAAGCCCUAUAAAGAGCAAAAAUGAAAAUCCCGGCCAGGGCG
This 105-nucleotide transfer RNA is filed under the name Candidatus Woesearchaeota archaeon. RNAcentral's name for it is "tRNA-Asp". Lineage: Archaea; Nanobdellati; Candidatus Woesearchaeota. The record is from RNAcentral.